RNAcentral lists this small RNA (577 nucleotides) under Pan troglodytes (chimpanzee). RNAcentral describes it as "processed transcript". The record is from RNAcentral. Lineage: Eukaryota; Metazoa; Chordata; Mammalia; Primates; Hominidae.
AAUUGCUCUCGCUUCGUCAGGGUUCCAGAUAACCAGAACCGCAAAUGCAGGCGGGGGUGUCCCAGAGUCGGCUCCGCCUGCACCCCAGGGCGCUGGGGCCGGGCAUGGGGCGGGGGGUGGUAUAAGAGGACGGCCCAGCAGAGGGCUGGAGAUUUUGGAACCCAGCUGUGUGCCAGCCCAAGUCGGAACUUGGAUCACAUCAGAUCCUCUCGAGCUCCAGCAGGAGAGGCCCUUCCUCGCCUGGCAGCCCCUGAGCGGCUCAGCAGGGCACCAUGGCAAGAUCUCUUCUCCUGCCCCUGCAGAUCCUACUGCUAUCCUUAGCCCUGGAAACUGCAGGAGAAGAAGGUGAAAGCUGGACUGGGAAGUCUGACCUCACCUCAGGGCCCCCACUGACCCUCUCCAAGGAGUCCCUGAGUCAGAACCCUUCCCUCCUCAAACAACUUCCAUCCUGGGAGGACCAGACUGUCGGCUGAAGCCCCCGCUCUUCCUGCUUCUGCUGACUCGGGGGGUCUCUGUCCCCUCCAGGCCCUGCCUCCUGUGCUCAGUGUCUCUCUGUGGUUCCCCAGAUGAGAUGCGC